UUUCCGGUUGAUCCCGCCGGACCUGACUGCUAUCGGAUUGAUACUAAGCCAUGCGAGUCUUUGCAGUAAUGCAAGGCAUACGGCUCAGUAACACGUAGUCAACUUACCCUAUGGACGAGGAUAAUCUCGGGAAACUGAGCAUAAUACUCGAUAGAUCAUAAUGCCUGGAAUGGUUUAUGGUUAAAAUGAUUCGUCGCCAUAGGAUGGGACUGCGGCCUAUCAGCUUGUUGGUGAGGUAAUGGCCCACCAAGGCGAUUACAGGUACGGGCUCUGAGAGGAGAAGCCCGGAGAUGGGUACUGAGACAAGGACCCAGGCCCUAUGGGGCGCAGCAGGCGAGAAAACUUUGCAAUGUGCGAAAGCACGACAAGGUUAAUCCGAGUGAUUUCUGCUAAAGAAAUCUUUUGCAAGUCAUAAAACCACUAGUGAAUAAGGGGUGGGCAAGUUCUGGUGUCAGCCGCCGCGGUAAAACCAGCACCUCAAGUGGUCAGGAGGAUUAUUGGGCCUAAAGCAUCCGUAGCCGGCUCUGUAAGUUUUCGGUUAAAUCCAUGUGCUCAACGCAUGGGCUGCCGAAAAUACUGCAUAGCUAGGGAGUGGGAGAGGUAGACGGUACUCAGUAGGAAGGGGUAAAAUCCUUUGAUCUAUUGAUGACCACCUGUGGCGAAGGCGGUCUACCAGAACACGUUCGACGGUGAGGGAUGAAAGCUGGGGGAGCAAACCGGAUUAGAUACCCGGGUAGUCCCAGCUGUAAACGAUGCAGACUCGAUGAUGCAUUGGCAUAUAGCCAGUGCAGUGUCGCAGGGAAGCCGUUAAGUCUGCCGCCUGGGAAGUACGUACGCAAGUAUGAAACUUAAAGGAAUUGGCGGGGGAGCACCACAAGGGGUGAAGCCUGCGGUUCAAUUGGAGUCAACGCCGGAA
This 916-nucleotide ribosomal RNA is filed under the name uncultured archaeon. Its description in RNAcentral is "SSU rRNA". It matches the Rfam family "Archaeal small subunit ribosomal RNA", at positions 1 to 923 of the family's 1478-position model. The record is from RNAcentral.